Molecule: ribosomal RNA, 468 nt
Filed under: uncultured bacterium
Lineage: Bacteria
Description: partial 16S ribosomal RNA
Rfam family: Bacterial small subunit ribosomal RNA
Source: RNAcentral
GACGAACGCUGGCGGCGUGCUUAACACAUGCAAGUCGAACGGAAAGGCCCUGCUUUUGUGGGGUGCUCGAGUGGCGAACGGGUGAGUAACACGUGAGUAACCUGCCCUUGACUUUGGGAUAACUUCAGGAAACUGGGGCUAAUACCGGAUAGGAGCUCCUGCUGCAUGGUGGGGGUUGGAAAGUUUCGGCGGGUGGGGAUGGACUCGCGGCUUAUCAGCUUGUUGGUGGGGUAGUGGCUUACCAAGGCUUUGACGGGUAGCCGGCCUGAGAGGGUGACCGGCGACAAUGGGACUGAGAGACGGCCCAGACUGCUACGGGAGGCAGCAGUGGGGAGUAUUGUACAAUGGGCGGAAGCCUGAUGCAGCAACGCCGCGUGCGGGAUGACGGCCUUCGGGUUGUAAAACGCUUUCGGCUGUGACGAAGCGUGAGUGACGGUAAUGGGUAAAGAAGCACCGGCUAACUACGUG